Triticum aestivum (bread wheat) is the source of this 1769-nucleotide long non-coding RNA. RefSeq lists it as uncharacterized. The record is from RefSeq and is a predicted model, not a curated record. NCBI's taxonomy places the organism in Eukaryota, Viridiplantae, Streptophyta, Magnoliopsida, Poales, Poaceae. The transcript has 7 exons.
GCCUACAUCGCAACGUCGAGUGGGCGGCCGCUCCUCCUUCACCUACAAUCAAAUAUUCAUGGAUCAGCCAGGCUACAACAAGAUUAUUAUGCAUCAUCUGCAUGAGUUUUGGAGCAGUAGCCAGCCCCAUCAGAUCGGCCAGAUCGCCAGUGCCUAGGAGCCUGCUCCGGCACCCGCGCCACCCUGAAAUUCCCCUGAACCAGCCAGCCACACGCAACUAUAAUUCUUCCCUGCACUUCUUCAGGGCCUAACGUCCAAAUUUCAGGGGUUAAGGUACCCCAACUCAGCAGAAUACGAGACCCAUAUUGCACAAUUGAAGAUGGUAUGGAGCCUUUUACUGGCUCAAAUCAACUAGAAAAAUAUGUCGGAUAAUGAUAAGAGAGGCUCUGUCGAACCUGGUACUCAAAACACAAAAAAUCUGCAAAUUACUUUUGUCGAUCCUACGUCUACUACAAUACCUACAUUGUUAUGCUCUACUAAUCUUAUGAUUUUCUAUCCUGGGUAAUGACCAGACAAAUGAUCCAUACAUGAUGACGCAUCAAGAUGUAGCUUUUGAAUCGUACCAACUUGGAUGCAAUACUCCCAUAGCAAAUACUGAUGAAUACAUGAAUUUUGUUCUUAAAGAAUGCAUGCAUCUCUAAGAUAAGGAAUUUAGCUCUAUACACGAUGACGCACCAAGAUGGGUAUUAAAGAGGGCUACAACUUAUUUGGAACAUGAUAUGUGUAUCCAGGUGCUCGACUCGCUAGGCCCAGGAAUGCACCGCAAAGACCUCACCGCUAUGCUGGAAGGCAAGGGCAAGAACACCUUACUGCUUGUGAAGGAAUGCUUAGUCCGUGGCUGCUGUAUGCACAGAUGCAUGCCCUCUUGCCGGCAAAACAGCAGCAACAGUCACCUCUGGAUUAUAUGACCGAUUUUAAAACAAAAUAGUUGUCAUUUUAGUGGACUCGGAAUUGAAUGAUGAUGAUGAUAUAAGAAAUCGAGACAUGGAAGAUGACGUUCAGGGCGCCACAAAUCACAUGGAUUAUAUGAUUCUUGGAUAGACCUUCUGAGAACCUCAAAACAUCAAAUACAUCAUCAGAAGUUGAGCUCAUCUCGCGAUCAUUUACCCUUUCAACGUCUCUCAAUCCAACAAAUGAUGACUUAUUGGAUGAACUUUCCUUUUUUAUCAGUAUGGUUGAUGAUGUCGCUCUACUAGAGUGAGACAUAUUUUUUAGUUCAUUUUGAAUUCCAAUAAAUUACUACUCUGAUGUCAUUAUAACUGAGAGAAUUCUGAUUUUACAUUAGUGAAUGGGUGAAAAGGUAUAAUCUUUAUCCUAUUAGUUUAAAUUGAGACAAGUAAAAAACAUACGAGAAAAUGAUGAAUACAUGGAUGUUGACUGAUUUAAUAUGUGUGUAGGGAUACUAGCGCGCCACGAAGUCCAGCUAUUCAGAGACAUUCCAUCUCACUAUAUCGAUCUAAACUUUUGUAUAAGUCACUAUAGUUACAUAUUACAUUUUGCCUCAUAUCACCAAUGUUUUCUUAUUCUUGUCUUAGUCGAUGUGCCAGUGUGCACGAGAUAGUCACCAUGACAAUGUGGACAUUGCUAAAAUAAAAAUUAGAUUCAGAAUAUGCGUUUUUAUUACAGAUUAUGAUAUGUGCCUUCGAUCACAAAUAUGUCACAUUUUUAGAAAUACAAUUUGAGUGACUUGACAACAUUGUAUAGCGAUCUAAAAUUUUGGAUCAAUAUUAUUUUAAUAUUGUAUCAUGUGAACUUAUUUUGUUUCAGAC